UUUUUUUUUUUUUUUUUUUUGCCACACCCGUAGAAUAUGUAAGUUCCCAGGCCGGGGAUCAAACCCUCACCACAGUAGUAACCUGAGCUGAUGCAGUGACAAUGCCGGAUCCUUAACCUGCUGAGCCACAAAAGAACUCCAAGACUAUUUUCGAUGGAGACGCUUCUUCUUCCUGCUCCAGCCCUCUCUAUCAUUGCUCCUACCCUAGUGAGAAGUACUCACCUGUCCUUCUCCCCUACCAGAAUAUAAAUCCAUCGGAGGCAGGGCUUCUAUUACUUUCCUUCCCAUCCCUAAUGGCAACUCAGCACUCUGAGCACACCAUGCUCUUACAAAUAUCUGCUGAAUGAAUAAAUGAAAACCAGCUGCCUCGUCCAUACAGUAUAAAACCAAAGCCCAGAGCAGGCUGAUUUCAGGAAGUCAGAUCUUCUCCACUGAGAGAACAGAAAAUACUCCAUGCAAAGAUAGAGCCUCCUCUACCAUCCUGGCCCUGGCACAACCCAUGGUGGAGAGAAAGAAUGACACAGCAAAUAGCUUGGGCUUUGGAGGCAGGGGACCCAGGGUCACCACCCACCGCUGUAGGUGGUCCUGUGUGGCCCUGGACCGCCUGCUUAACUUCCUGAGCCUUGGGUCCCUCUUUCUUCAUCCAGGGAUAAUAAUAACCCCCACCUUGUGUUGUCACGAGGAGUAACUGAAGUUACACGCGUAAAACUGUUAGCACUUGGCAGACACUUAGAGCUGGUCCCACCCAGCCCACUGCCUUUCAAUGUUACCAAAGCAGAGUCAGCGCCUCAUGAUAUCUGUUAUCCUAACACACAGGCAGCUCCUGCCGAUGAGACUCAAUCUAAACACAGGGAAGGAGCAAAGACUAGCUUCCUGGACCGUAAACUUGGGAGGCACUUAGGCACAGCCCAGAGUACUUGGACUGGGGCCAAGAACUUCCAGCUCCCUGACCGGGACACAGAAAUCUCAGAGGCCCCUCCAUCACCCAACGCAGCUCCCAAGGACUUCAUGUCAAUGUCCCCCACCCCUUCCAGAAGAAAGAGAAACAGAAGAAAAUCUGAAAGAACACGAGGAAACGUUAACAGUGGUUAGCUCUUGUGACAAGAGUCCAGGUGACUUUUUAAAAAAAAUUUUUUAAAGAAUUUUUAUUAAAGUACAGUUGAUUUAUAAUGUUGUGCCCAGGUGACUUUUUUUAAAAAAAUUUUUAAGGAAUUUUUAUUAUAGUUGAUUUGGAGUUCCCGUCGUGGCUCAGUGGUUAACAAAUCCAACUAGGAACCAUGAGGUUGAGGGUUUGAUCCCUGGUCUCGGUCAGUGGGUUAAGGAUCCGGCGUUGCUGUGAGCUGUGGUGUAGGCUGGCAGCUGUAGCUCCAAUGAGACCUCUAGCUUGGGAACUCCCAUAUGCUGCAAGCGCGGCUCUAAAAAGAAAAAACAAAAACAAAAACACCACCAAAACACUCAAUUUAAUGCAACGAGAGAGUGAUGAUCCAUUUCUUUUCUUUUUUCUUUUUAUGGCUGAACCCUCAGCAUAUGUAAAUUCCUGGGCUAGGGGUCAAAUUGGAGCCACAGCUGCCAGCCUAUGCCACAGCCACAGCAAUGCCAGAUCCUAGCUGGAUCUGCAACCUACACUGCCGCUUGCACCAACACUGGGUCCUUAACCCUCUGAGCGAGGCCAGGGAUCGAAGCCGCAUUCUCUCGGACACCAUGUUGGGUUCUUAAUCCACUGAACCACAAUGCAAACACCAGACGAUUCAUUUCAAAAAGGGCCUUUACAGGUAUGCUCUCCAUAGCUCAUUUCAUUCACCCACAAACUGGAGUGAGUGCCCCCAUCUCUCAUUUUCCAAAAUAAGUCAGCUCCUCAAAGUUUUCUGACCAAAGGGGCAAAAGUGGGACUGGGAUCCAGGUCUCCUAACUCCUCUUCCUUUGUCGACUGGCGCAGGGGGAAUGAGUGAGCAAACUGGAGAAAGGUUUUCCUCCACUUCCAUCUAAAUUUGCUGAGAGUUUCAGGCUAACCCCUGGCAGCCCUGAACACACACAGGCCACUUCGGUUCAUCCUGAGCUCCCUGUGGGGGGUGAUUAGCAAAUGACCAGCCCCAAAGCUUCAUCAGCGAAAGAGACAGAAAAGAAUGCUUUCUUCACCCUGCCCUCACCACCCCCUACAGAUUCUCCCCACCGGGGGCACCGAAGGGCCUGGAAACCUCACAUCCAACCAUUAAUUGCACAGCAGGUCCCUGCCAAGCACAUCCUCUCCACCCGGGAUUUCACUUUGCACGCGGAGGUCCCUGCCAGAUCCCAAACUGCAGCUUCCCAUCCUGAAAUUAAAAAACAACAAGCCGCCAAACCUAAGCCAAGCAGGGCCCUGAGAAUGCCAGCAUCCCGGCUGGGAGGGUGCCUCCCACGCAGUGGUGAGGGGCAGACGCUGCCCUGUUCUCAGCCUGGACAAGGGGACCUGUCCCCCCCAAGGCCUUGGCAGCGGGGGGCAGCCAACCGGGUGCAAGCCCUAUUCUGUGCAGCACGGCAGCUGCUCUCAGCAGCAGGCCAGGGCCCCGGCCAGGCCUGGAUGUGGGAGAUGGGCCUGCUGGAAAUGGCAUCAUGCUGAGCCCUCACGGGGGAGGUGGGCAACCUGCCUAAGGAAAUGGCAUAAGACCUCCGCGUCCUGGCUGACAUGAGCUGACCCAGGAGCCCACC
Molecule: long non-coding RNA, 2685 nt
Filed under: Sus scrofa (pig)
Lineage: Eukaryota; Metazoa; Chordata; Mammalia; Artiodactyla; Suidae
Description: lncRNA (ENSSSCG00035048149.1)
Source: RNAcentral